Molecule: small nuclear RNA, 20 nt
Filed under: Arabidopsis thaliana (thale cress)
Lineage: Eukaryota; Viridiplantae; Streptophyta; Magnoliopsida; Brassicales; Brassicaceae
Description: snRNA_16614
Source: RNAcentral
UUCACUUUGUCGAAUCAUCA